This 389-nucleotide ribosomal RNA is filed under the name uncultured Erysipelothrix sp. RNAcentral describes it as "bacterial SSU rRNA". It matches the Rfam family "Bacterial small subunit ribosomal RNA", at positions 984 to 1382 of the family's 1533-position model. Lineage: Bacteria; Bacillati; Bacillota; Erysipelotrichia; Erysipelotrichales; Erysipelotrichaceae. The record is from RNAcentral.
ACAUGGUGUUUAAGGCCCUAGAGAUAGGGAGAUAUAAACACAUACAGGUGGUGCAUGGUUGUCGUCAGCUCGUGUCGUGAGAUGUUGGGUUAAGUCCCGCAACGAGCGCAACCCUUGUCUUUAGUUACCAUCAUUCAGUUGGGGACUCUAGAGAGACUGCCGGUGAUAAACCGGAGGAAGGUGGGGAUGACGUCAAAUCAUCAUGCCCUUAUGACCUGGGCUACACACGUACUACAAUGGCGCAUACAACGAGCUGCGAGAUGGUGACAUCAAGCGAAUCUCUUAAAAUGCGUCUCAGUUCAGAUUGGAGUCUGCAACUCGACUCCAUGAAGUCGGAAUCGCUAGUAAUCGCGGAUCAGCAUGCCGCGGUGAAUACGUUCUCGGGGUUU